UGAGGAAUAUUGGGCAAUGGGCGAAAGCCUGACCCAGCAACGCCGCGUGGAGGAUGAAUGCCGUAAGGUUGUAAACUCCUUUUGGAGGGGACGAAAAAGUAGGUUCAUAGCCUAUAUUGACUGUACCCUCAGAAAAAGCCCCGGCUAACUACGUGCCAGCAGCCGCGGUAAUACGUAGGGGGCGAAGCGUUGUCCGGAUUUACUUGGGUGGUAAAGGGCGCGUAGGCGGUUGUGCAAGUCCAGGGUUGAAGACCUGGGCUCAACCGAGGGAAGGCCUUGGAGACUGCACGACUUGAGUAAGCGAGGGGAGGGCGGAAUUCCCGGUGUAGCGGUGAAUGCGUAGAUAUCGGGAGGAAGGCCUGUGGCGAAGGCGGCCCUCUGGCGCUUGACUGACGCUGAGGCGCGAAGCGUGGGGAGCAACA
RNAcentral lists this ribosomal RNA (422 nucleotides) under uncultured bacterium. Its description in RNAcentral is "bacterial SSU rRNA". It matches the Rfam family "Bacterial small subunit ribosomal RNA", at positions 355 to 773 of the family's 1533-position model. The record is from RNAcentral.